UAGGGAAUCUUCCGCAAUGGACGCAAGUCUGACGGAGCAACGCCGCGUGAGUGAAGAAGGUUUUCGGAUCGUAAAACUCUGUUGUUAGAGAAGAACAAGUGCUAGAGUAACUGUUAGCGCCUUGACGGUAUCUAACCAGAAAGCCACGGCUAACUACGUGCCAGCAGCCGCGGUAAUACGUAGGUGGCAAGCGUUGUCCGGAUUUAUUGGGCGUAAAGCGAGCGCAGGCGGUUUCUUAAGUCUGAUGUGAAAGCCCCCGGCUCAACCGGGGAGGGUCAUUGGAAACUGGGGAACUUGAGUGCAGAAGAGGAGAGUGGAAUUCCAUGUGUAGCGGUGAAAUGCGUAGAUAUAUGGAGGAACACCAGUGGCGAAGGCGACUCUCUGGUCUGUAACUGACGCUGAGGCUCGAAAGCGUGGGUAGCAAACAGGAUUAGAUACCCUGGUAGUCCACGCCGUAAACGAUGAGUGCUAAGUGUUGGAGGGUUUCCGCCCUUCAGUGCUGCAGUUAACGCAUUAAGCACUCCGCCUGGGGAGUACGACCGCAAGGUUG
Molecule: ribosomal RNA, 550 nt
Filed under: uncultured bacterium
Lineage: Bacteria
Description: bacterial SSU rRNA
Rfam family: Bacterial small subunit ribosomal RNA
Source: RNAcentral